Molecule: transfer RNA, 77 nt
Filed under: Patescibacteria group bacterium
Lineage: Bacteria
Also listed under: 2 other names
Description: tRNA-His
Rfam family: tRNA
About the family: Transfer RNA (tRNA) molecules are approximately 80 nucleotides in length. Their secondary structure includes four short double-helical elements and three loops (D, anti-codon, and T loops).
Source: RNAcentral
GUGGAUGUAGCUCAAUUGGUUAGAGCACUGGUUUGUGGCACCAGGGGUUGUGGGUUCAAGUCCCAUCUUCCACCCCA